CACGUAGGGCGCAAGCGUUGUCCGGAAUUAUUGGGCGUAAAGAGCUCGUAGGCGGUCUGUCACGUCGGCUGUGAAAACCCGAGGCUCAACCUCGGGCCUGCAGUCGAUACGGGCAAACUAGAGUGUUGCAGGGGAGACUGGAAUUCCUGGUGUAGCGGUGAAAUGCGCAGAUAUCAGGAGGAACACCGGUGGCGAAGGCGGGUCUCUGGGCAACAACUGACGCUGAGGAGCGAAAACGUGGGGAGCGAACAGG
This 253-nucleotide ribosomal RNA is filed under the name uncultured bacterium. Its description in RNAcentral is "partial 16S ribosomal RNA". It matches the Rfam family "Bacterial small subunit ribosomal RNA", at positions 524 to 776 of the family's 1533-position model. The record is from RNAcentral.